RNAcentral lists this ribosomal RNA (477 nucleotides) under uncultured bacterium. RNAcentral describes it as "bacterial SSU rRNA". It matches the Rfam family "Bacterial small subunit ribosomal RNA", at positions 329 to 803 of the family's 1533-position model. The record is from RNAcentral.
UUUAAGCUUCCUACGGGAGGCUGCAGUAAGGAAUAUUGGUCAAUGGACGGAAGUCUGAACCAGCCAUCCCGCGUGCAGGAUGACUGCCCUAUGGGUUGUAAACUGCUUUUAGCAGAGACGAAACGCCUUCAUUUAUGAGGGUCUGACGGUAUCUGCAGAAUAAGCACCGGCUAACUCCGUGCCAGCAGCCGCGGUAAUACGGAGGGUGCAAGCGUUAUCCGGAAUCACUGGGUUUAAAGGGUGCGUAGGCGGAUGAUUAAGUCAGUGGUGAAAUCUUGUCGCUUAACGAUAAAAUUGCCAUUGAUACUGAUUAUCUUGAAUUGGGUUGAGGUUAGCGGAAUGUGACAUGUAGCGGUGAAAUGCAUAGAUAUGUCAUGGAACACCAAUUGCGAAGGCAGCUAGCUGGGCCUUGAUUGACGCUGAGGCACGAAAGCGUGGGUAGCGAACAGGAUUAGAUACCCUUGUAGUCGAAUUCUU